UAGAUCCUGUCCAUUGACUCAGCAGGAUUGGAGAGCUUGCUUCUUAAUAAUCCUGCACCAAGUUAGAACUCAUGUCUAGGACAUCCUAUUCCAUCCCAUUGCGGGUCUGAUUUUCUUGUAAAGGUAGUUUUCUUAUUAAAACAGAAGUAUUGACAGAUGUUAUAUUCUCCUUCAUUACAGAAUGCAAGCCAAGUUCUACAGAUAUGAACAUUGGGUGAUAUUUCCCUUCUUUUUAUAAAGUACAGGUCUUACAGAACUCACUCCCUGUCAAAGUCAACUGGGGAAACAGAAUCUUUUAUCUUUAUUGGCAGAAGGGUUUAUCUAUUUCAUUUCCUUCUUCUAAGCUGGGGGACCAGUCCUCCCUCAUUUGUGGUUUCGCUUCCCACAGUUUCAGUUACCCAUGGUCAACCGCGAGCCAGAAGCAGAUGAUCCUCUUUCUGACAUACUCUCGGAAGGUCAGUAGCAGCCUAACACUACGUCACAAUGCCCAUGUCAUUCACCUCACUUCAUCUCAUCACACAGACAUUUAGUCAUCUCACAACAUUACAAGAAGUAGGGUCUGACAGGCAACUUUGGACCACAUCCAGUCUUGUUGAGGUGCCCGUGCUUCUAUCUAGGUUACUGUCUCUUGGAUUGCUCAUUCUGGGGGAAAACAGCUGCCGUGUGGUGAGGAAAGAUACACACAAUGAAGAACUGAACCAAAAACCAUGUGAGUGAGUCAUCUUGGAGCAGCUCCUUGGCAUCAUUCAAGGCUUGACAUGAUGGCAGCUCCAGAUGACAUUGACUGCAACAUCAUAAGAGAUCCUAACCAGAUCUACCCUGCUAACCUGUUCCUGGAUCUGACCUUUGGGAACUGUGUGAGAUAAUAAAUACUGCUUUAACUGCUAA
Molecule: long non-coding RNA, 888 nt
Organism: Panthera uncia (snow leopard)
Lineage: Eukaryota; Metazoa; Chordata; Mammalia; Carnivora; Felidae
Exons: 3
Source: RefSeq, a predicted model, not a curated record